RNAcentral lists this long non-coding RNA (226 nucleotides) under Mytilus galloprovincialis (Mediterranean mussel). The record is from RNAcentral. Lineage: Eukaryota; Metazoa; Mollusca; Bivalvia; Mytilida; Mytilidae.
GUCAGAAGAUGUAACCAAAGAAAAUAAACAAAAUGACAAUAAUACAUAAAUAACAACAGACUACUAGCAGUUAACUGACAUGCCAGCUCCAGACUUCAAUUAAACUGACUGAAAGAUUAUGAUUUCAUCAUAUGAACAUCAGGCACAAUCCUUCCCGUUAGGGGUUUAGUAUCAUACCAUCAUAACAUAUAUGAGAAGAACAUAACCCGUGUCAUGCCAACAACUG